Molecule: ribosomal RNA, 492 nt
Filed under: uncultured bacterium
Lineage: Bacteria
Description: partial 16S ribosomal RNA
Rfam family: Bacterial small subunit ribosomal RNA
Source: RNAcentral
AGUGAACGCUGGCGGUAGGCCUAACACAUGCAAGUCGAACGGCAGCACAGUAAGAGCUUGCUCUUACGGGUGGCGAGUGGCGGACGGGUGAGGAAUACAUCGGAAUCUACUUUUUCGUGGGGGAUAACGUAGGGAAACUUACGCUAAUACCGCAUACGACCUACGGGUGAAAGCAGGGGAUCUUCGGACCUUGCGCGAUUGAAUGAGCCGAUGUCGGAUUAGCUAGUUGGCGGGGUAAAGGCCCACCAAGGCGACGAUCCGUAGCUGGUCUGAGAGGAUGAUCAGCCACACUGGAACUGAGACACGGUACAGACUCCGACGGGAGGACGCAGUGGGGAAUAUUGGACAAGGGGGGCAAGCCUGAUCCAGCCAUACCGCGUGGGUGAAGAAGGCCUUCGGGUUGGAAAGCCCUUUUGUUGGGAAAGAAAAGCAGCAGGUUAAUACCCCGCUGUUCUGACGGUACCCAAAGAAUAAGCACCGGCUAACUUCGUG